RNAcentral lists this long non-coding RNA (1484 nucleotides) under Sarcophilus harrisii (Tasmanian devil). RNAcentral's name for it is "lncRNA (ENSSHAG00000031256.1)". Lineage: Eukaryota; Metazoa; Chordata; Mammalia; Dasyuromorphia; Dasyuridae. The record is from RNAcentral.
GAUUUUUUUGUUAUUGCUAGUAUUUCCAAUACAAUACUGAAUAAUAUUGGUGAUAAUAUGCAUCUUUGUUUCACACAUUCGAUCUUAUUGAGAAGACUUUCAGUUUAUCCCCUUUAUGAAUAAUACUUUUUUAUGGUUUUAGGUUGUUGCUUAUCAUUUUGAGGAAAAAUUCACUUAUAUCUAUGCUUUACAGUGUGGUUUUUUUAAAAAUUAGGAAUGAGUGUUAUAUUUUGUUAAAAAAAAAAAUUAAAAAAAACCUUCUUUGGCAGCUGCUACAUGGUGCAGUAAAUAGCUCACUGGUCCUCCUGACUUCAGGGCUGGUACUCUAUCCAUCAGUGUUUAAGGAUUUUAAAAGGAACUAAUCGGUUUCCAUAAGUUUUGGUAUAUUGUCUUACUGUUUUUUCUUUAAAUAAAAAUAUUUGUUUCUAUGAUUUAUUUUUUGACCCACUCAUUCUUUAAGAUUAAGGUAUUUCAUUUCAAAUUAAUUUUUAAUGUUUUUUCAUGGCCCUUUAUAAUUUUUAUUGCAUUAUUAUCUUAAAAUAUUUCUUCUUUUCUGCAUUUGACUAUAUGGUUUUUAAUGCCUUAAGAUGUGGUCAAUUUUUGUAAAGUUGUGAUGUACCUCUAAGAAAAAGAUAUAGUCUUUUUUAUUCCCAUUCAAUUCUCUCCAGAUGUCUAUCAUAUUUAGCUUAUCUAAGAUUUAUCAUCAUCUUGACUUUUUCCUUAUUUUUUGGUUAGAGUUAUCUAAAUUUUGAAGGUUUUAACCUUUUAGUUUUGCUAUUUAUUUCUACCUAUAAUAACUUUUUCUUCAAAAAUCUGGGUGCUAUAGUAUGUGGGGCAUAUGUUUAGUAUUGAUAUUCUUUAUAGUACCUUUUAUCAGAAUUUAAUUUCCCUGUUUGUUUUUUAAAUUAAUUCUACUUUAGCUUUAAAUGUGUUUGAGUCAUUAUUGUUACCUCUGCUUUUUAAAUUUUGUGUCAGCUGAAACAUAAAAAAUUCUGUUCCAGCCCUUUAUUUUUACUCUAGAUAUAGCUCUCAUUUUAAAAUUUUGUCUCUUGUAAACAACAUAUUGUUUGAUUCUAGGUUUUGAUCCAUUUUGCUAUCCAUUUUCCAUUUUGUGGCAGUUUUUCCCAUUCACAUUCAAUUAUAAUUACUAGUCAUGUAUUUCCCUACAUCUCAUUUAAUGAGAUGUAUUUAAUCUUUUUACCCUAUCCCUCUUUUGACAUCUAAUUUACUUUUGACCUCUGCUUCCCUAAUCUGCACCUCUUCUAAAAAUCUCUCCCUUAUUGUCCUAUUCCUUAAUGCCCAUCCUUCUGUGUCCCUUCCUUAUGCCUCUCCUUAACCUGUUAUUUCUUCAUCUGCAUGUCCUAAGACUACCUCCCUCCCUUAUCAUAUCCUUGCACUCUAUUUCUCUAUAAGAUUUUUACACUCUUGUAGAUGUAUGUUAUAUGUUAUAUUUAACCCAGUUCUGAUGAAAAGAACAUUCCAGA